This 497-nucleotide ribosomal RNA is filed under the name uncultured bacterium. RNAcentral describes it as "partial 16S ribosomal RNA". It matches the Rfam family "Bacterial small subunit ribosomal RNA", at positions 28 to 507 of the family's 1533-position model. The record is from RNAcentral.
GACGAACGCUGGCGGCGUGCCUAAUACAUGCAAGUUGAGCGAUGAAGAUUGGUGCUUGCACCAAUUUGAAGAGCAGCGAACGGGUGAGUAACGCGUGGGGAAUCUGCCUUUGAGCGGGGGACAACAUUUGGAAACGAAUGCUAAUACCGCAUAAUAACUUUAAACAUAAGUUUUAAGUUUGAAAGAUGCAAUUGCAUCACUCAAAGAUGAUCCCGCGUUGUAUUAGCUAGUUGGUGAGGUAAAGGCUCACCAAGGCGAUGAUACAUAGCCGACCUGAGGGGGUGAUCGGCCACAUUGGGACUGAGACACGGCCCAAACUCCUACGGGAGGCAGCAGUAGGGAAUCUUCGGCAAUGGACGAAAGUCUGACCGAGCAACGCCGCGGGAGUGAAGAAGGUUUUCGGAUCGUAAAACUCUGUUGGUAGAGAAGAACGUUGGUGAGAGUGGAAAGCUCAUCAAGUGACGGUAACUACCCAGAAAGGGACGGCUAACUACGUG